GGAGCCUGAGAAACGGCUACCACAUCCAAGGAUGGCAGCAGGCGCGCAAAUUACCCAAUCCCGACACGGGGAGGUAGUGACAAUAAAUAACAAUACGGGGUUCUUUAGGAUCUCGUAAUUGGAAUGAGUACAAUUUAAAUCUCUUAACGAGGAACAAUUGGAGGGCAAGUCUGGUGCCAGCAGCCGCGGUAAUUCCAGCUCCAAUAGCGUAUAUUAAAGUUGUUGCAGUUAAAAAGCUCGUAGUUGAAUUUCGGGGUUAGUAGGUUGGUCAUGCCUCUGGUAUGUACUGGUCUCACUGAUUCCUCCUUCCUUAUGAACCGUAAUGCCAUUAAUUUGGUGUUGCGGGGAAUUUGGACUGUUACUUUGAAAAAAUUAGAGUGUUUAAAGCAAGCUAACGCUUGAAUACAUUAGCAUGGAAUAAUGAAUUAGGACGUUCGAUCUUAUUUUGUUGGUUUCUAGGAUUGACGUAAUGAUUAAUAGGGAUAGUUGGGGGCAUUAGUAUUCAAUUGUCAGAGGUGAAAUUCUUGGAUUUAUUGAAGACUAACUACUGCGAAAGCAUUUGCCAAGGAUGUUUUCAUUAAUCAAGAACGAAAGUUAGGGGAUCGAAGACGAUCAGAUACCGUCGUAGUCUUAACCAUAAACUAUGCCGACUAGGGAUCGGAUGAUGUUAAUUUUUUAAUGACUCAUUCGGCGCCUUACGGGAAAC
Molecule: ribosomal RNA, 706 nt
Filed under: uncultured fungus
Lineage: Eukaryota; Fungi
Description: SSU rRNA
Rfam family: Eukaryotic small subunit ribosomal RNA
Source: RNAcentral